Long non-coding RNA from Vespa velutina, 1448 nucleotides. RefSeq lists it as uncharacterized. The transcript is spliced from 3 exons. The record is from RefSeq and is a predicted model, not a curated record. Lineage: Eukaryota; Metazoa; Arthropoda; Insecta; Hymenoptera; Vespidae.
UUGUUUAAACUUGUCAGAUGAUUACGAAGCACGAUCAUAUUUCAUUCGUAACGCAACCCAAUUUGUUCAAAACGAUAUGCAUAUAUAUAAGGGAUAUAAAUCGAUUUGACCUUGAAAACGUACGAAAGAAUUAACACACGUCUUACUUAAAAGAAUAUUUUAUCGCAUCUCGGAACAAUGCAUUGCACGAACGAUUACAACACGACUUAGUGAUGAUGAUUGAAUUACAAUGUUUCCCUUUUUUUGUUUUUUUUUUUUUUUUCGGUUUUUUUUUUUUUUUUUUCUCCUCUUUUUUCCUUGUUUCUUUUUUUUAUCUAAUAAACGCACGAACAUUUCUUAAUCGUUAUUGUCAUAUUCGACAUUUUGUUCUCAAUUUAAUUGAUUUAUCGAUUUAUGUACAUACAUGUUUCUCCAUAAUGUUCAAUUACAUUAUCUUAUCGAACUUCCUAGAUUUAACAAGGUUAGAGAAUACAAUAGAAGUAAUUAGUAUCAUGACACUUUAAAGAAAUCAUUUCCUCCAUUACUGACAAGAAAAGUCGCUUGUACAACACACGUGCAAAGCACGCAAAUCAGACGCUCGUAUUAUAGGUCACGUGUGUCGUCGUCGUCGUCGACGUCGUCGAAUACCUAAUUAAUAAUUCAAUGAAAUUCUUAACAAGUUACACGGAAUGGCUGUAUAACAUGUAAAAAAACGAAAGAAGGACAAGGAAAAAGACAUUUAUCAGAUGUUUAGAAGUAAAAGUUAAUUGAAAUGUUAAUUUAUCUAACCUCAAAAAUGAACUUUCGAUGAUUGAUAUAAGUAUACAUAUAUAACAACGAAUUAUAAAAUAAAUUGAAUGGUCAGUAUAUUGAAUCGAGGAAGAAGAGGACUAUGCUGACAACUCGAUUUCGCUCCUUUCUACUGCAUUUUGCUCGAUUCUCGGAGUCAAGCAAAAUCGUUACGCAUCCUGUCUGGCAUUGAAUAACACACGCGCGUUCCACUCACUUCGCCUCGGUUAUUACGAAUGAAGAAAAUUGUUUACAUAUAUAUAGAAGAUGAUUUUCUAACGAAAACGAACGUGAAUUUCUCCAUAGAAACUUGACGACCAAAAGUUGAAGGAAAAAACGUUGUGUUACGUAAACGAAACUGUGUAAGUAGGAGGAUCAUUGAGGGUUUUACACAUCGUGCCGUUACGCUUCGAACGCAGUGCAAUUUAAUCCAACACCUCGUAUUUAGCGCCAACGCAAGAUUUCGCGGAAAGCUCGCGCGCUUUUCAAAAGAUAUAGUGCCAUAUCUUACAUCACUAUGAUAUCAUCGUUGUUGGAAUUUUUCUAUAUAUGGCACUCGUUGGAAAACAUGUUAUUGAUCAUUUAAAAAAUGUGUAUAUAAAGAUCCUAAUUUUUAUUUAAAAAAUCAAAAGAACAUAACCUGUAAAUUUAAUCAUUUAUAACUUGAUGUAAUUUUCAAG